RNAcentral lists this ribosomal RNA (1940 nucleotides) under Salmonella enterica. Its description in RNAcentral is "partial 23S ribosomal RNA". It matches the Rfam family "Bacterial large subunit ribosomal RNA", at positions 1 to 2411 of the family's 2925-position model. The record is from RNAcentral. Lineage: Bacteria; Pseudomonadati; Pseudomonadota; Gammaproteobacteria; Enterobacterales; Enterobacteriaceae.
AAGCCAGUGGUGAACUCCACAUACGCAUCCUUUGCUGAGGAUACGGUUAACGGAGCGAAAGCGACGUUCAACCUCAAAAGAAGCAGAGGGGGCUUAGUGGUGGGGUGACUGCGUACCUUUUGUAUAAUGGGUCAGCGACUUAUAUUCUGUAGCAAGGUUAACCGCAUAGGGGAGCCGUAGGGAAACCGAGUCUUAACCGGGCGUUAAGUUGCAGGGUAUAGACCCGAAACCCGGUGAUCUAGCCAUGGGCAGGUUGAAGGUUGGGUAACACUAACUGGAGGACCGAACCGACUAAUGUUGAAAAAUUAGCGGAUGACCUGUGGCUGGGGGUGAAAGGCCAAUCAAACCGGGAGAUAGCUGGUUCUCCCCGAAAGCUAUUUAGGUAGCGCCUCGUGAACUCAUCUCCGGGGGUAGAGCACUGUUUCGGCUAGGGGGCCAUCCCGGCUUACCAACCCGAUGCAAACUGCGAAUACCGAAGAAUGUUAUCACGGGAGACACACGGCGGGUGCUAACGUCCGUCGUGAAGAGGGAAACAACCCAGACCGCCAGCUAAGGUCCCAAAGUCAUGGUUAAGUGGGAAACGAUGUGGGAAGGCACAGACAGCCAGGAUGUUGGCUUAGAAGCAGCCAUCAUUUAAAGAAAGCGUAAUAGCUCACUGGUCGAGUCGGCCUGCGCGGAAGAUGUAACGGGGCUAAACCAUGCACCGAAGCUGCGGCAGCGACACUAUGUGUUGUUGGGUAGGGGAGCGUUCUGUAAGCCGUUGAAGGUGUCCUGUGAGGGAUGCUGGAGGUAUCAGAAGUGCGAAUGCUGACAUAAGUAACGAUAAUGCGGGUGAAAAACCCGCACGCCGGAAGACCAAGGGUUCCUGUCCAACGUUAAUCGGGGCAGGGUGAGUCGACCCCUAAGGCGAGGCCGAAAGGCGUAGUCGAUGGGAAACAGGUUAAUAUUCCUGUACUUGGUGUUACUGCGAAGGGGGGACGGAGAAGGCUAUGUUGGCCGGGCGACGGUUGUCCCGGUUUAAGCGUGUAGGUGUGUGUUCUAGGUAAAUCCGGUUCACUUUAACACUGAGGCGUGAUGACGAGGCACUACGGUGCUGAAGUGACAAAUGCCCUGCUUCCAGGAAAAGCCUCUAAGCAUCAGGUAACACGAAAUCGUACCCCAAACCGACACAGGUGGUCAGGUAGAGAAUACCAAGGCGCUUGAGAGAACUCGGGUGAAGGAACUAGGCAAAAUGGUGCCGUAACUUCGGGAGAAGGCACGCUGAUAUGUAGGUGAAGCGGUUUACCCGUGGAGCUGAAAUCAGUCGAAGAUACCAGCUGGCUGCAACUGUUUAUUAAAAACACAGCACUGUGCAAACACGAAAGUGGACGUAUACGGUGUGACGCCUGCCCGGUGCCGGAAGGUUAAUUGAUGGGGUUAUCCGUAAGGAGAAGCUCUUGAUCGAAGCCCCGGUAAACGGCGGCCGUAACUAUAACGGUCCUAAGGUAGCGAAAUUCCUUGUCGGGUAAGUUCCGACCUGCACGAAUGGCGUAAUGAUGGCCAGGCUGUCUCCACCCGAGACUCAGUGAAAUUGAACUCGCUGUGAAGAUGCAGUGUACCCGCGGCAAGACGGAAAGACCCCGUGAACCUUUACUAUAGCUUGACACUGAACACUGGUCCUUGAUGUGUAGGAUAGGUGGGAGGCUUUGAAGUGUGGACGCCAGUCUGCAUGGAGCCAUCCUUGAAAUACCACCCUUUAAUGGCUGGUGUUCUAACGUGGGCCCCUAAUCGGGGUUGCGGACAGUGUCUGGUGGGUAGUUUGACUGGGGCGGUCUCCUCCCAAAGAGUAACGGAGGAGCACGAAGGUUAGCUAAUCCUGGUCGGACAUCAGGAGGUUAGUGCAAAGGCAUAAGCUAGCUUGACUGCGAGAGUGACGGCUCGAGCAGGUGCGAAAGCAGGUC